This is a non-coding RNA of Ipomoea nil (Japanese morning glory), 81 nucleotides long. Lineage: Eukaryota; Viridiplantae; Streptophyta; Magnoliopsida; Solanales; Convolvulaceae. The record is from Rfam.
AUUGAGAUGGCUGAGUUGCUCUAAGGCGCCAAAUUAAUAUUUUGGUUUAAAAGGUCGUAGGUUCAAAUCUCACUUUAAACA